RNAcentral lists this ribosomal RNA (449 nucleotides) under uncultured bacterium. RNAcentral describes it as "bacterial SSU rRNA". It matches the Rfam family "Bacterial small subunit ribosomal RNA", at positions 29 to 524 of the family's 1533-position model. The record is from RNAcentral.
AACGAACGCUGGCGGCAUGCCUAACACAUGCAAGUCGAACGAGACCUUCGGGUCUAGUGGCGCACGGGUGCGUAACGCGUGGGAAUCUGCCCUUGGGUUCGGAAUAACAGUUAGAAAUGACUGCUAAUACCGGAUAAUGUCUUCGGACCAAAGAUUUAUCGCCCAGGGAUGAGCCCGCGUAGGAUUAGCUAGUUGGUGAGGUAAAGGCUCACCAAGGCGACGAUCCUUAGCUGGUCUGAGAGGAUGAUCAGCCACACUGGGACUGAGACACGGCCCAGACUCCUACGGGAGGCAGCAGUGGGGAAUAUUGGACAAUGGGCGAAAGCCUGAUCCAGCAAUGCCGCGUGAGUGAUGAAGGCCUUAGGGUUGUAAAGCUCUUUACCCGGGAUGAUAAUGACAGUACCGGGAGAAUAAGCCCCGGCUAACUCCGUGCCAGCAGCCGCGGUAAU